GUCACUCGUGGUCACUCGUGUGUACUUUUAGACAAGAUCCAAUUUGCACUAAAAGUACACACGAGUGACCACGAAUGACCACGAGU
This 86-nucleotide microRNA precursor is filed under the name Paramuricea clavata. Lineage: Eukaryota; Metazoa; Cnidaria; Anthozoa; Malacalcyonacea; Plexauridae. The record is from RNAcentral.